CUGGCCUCCACAGUGUUUGACCCUGAUAUCCAGCAGCCUUGUAUGCGUCCUGUACGUGGUACGAGUUAUCCUGGACGAUGCCACUAACUAUGAAUGUGGCGGCCUGCCUGCCCCCUGCAAGACUGACAACAACACUGACACUACCACGGAGGAAUCCAACACCAACGUGAACUGGUACGUGUUGCUAUGGGUGGAGAGACCUCUGUGGCUGUGGAUCAUACAGGUCGUGCUAGCCUUUGUCACAUUCUUCAAGUGCUUGCUGAAAAUCUAUGUUGCCAAGGGCCGACGUAGCGACCAUUUCCUGAAAACCCAUUUCAUCAUGGAAGUCUUAACUUUUUUUCCAUAUAUU
Long non-coding RNA from Dreissena polymorpha, 349 nucleotides. RefSeq lists it as uncharacterized. NCBI's taxonomy places the organism in Eukaryota, Metazoa, Mollusca, Bivalvia, Myida, Dreissenidae. The record is from RefSeq and is a predicted model, not a curated record. The transcript has 4 exons.